AGACACGAAGAAGAAAUAACAAUUCAAUUUCUCUCAUCGGCAGUACUAGAGAAAAGAAUUCUCCGUCCUCCAGUCGCGAUAUAUUUAACGGCCUCACCGACCAACACCUCCUACAACGCUGCCUCUGUUUUUGUCUUUUAUGCAAGAGUUGACAUCGCUGAGACAAUCUACAGCAGCACCUAGGCUUCUUGGGUCAAAGGGUCUCAGAGGAAGGUAUGCAAUAAAAGGGACAGAAGAAGAAACAAAGCAGUUAAUCGAUCUAUGGAUUAAAAAUGAGAGUCUCUUCAUUAAAAAAAAAGGAACGCUGCAAAACAGGGAUGGAGACAUGCCUCGUAAGGAGAGGAGGUGGAAGCAAAAACAAAAGGAGCUGCGUCAGGCUGCUAAAGGCAGUGGAUCCCUCACCAGCUGGGUGAAGAGCACAACAGAUAAGAAUAACACAUGUACCAGUUGUUUACGUUGCA
Epinephelus fuscoguttatus (brown-marbled grouper) is the source of this 461-nucleotide long non-coding RNA. RefSeq lists it as uncharacterized. The transcript has 4 exons. Lineage: Eukaryota; Metazoa; Chordata; Actinopteri; Perciformes; Serranidae. The record is from RefSeq and is a predicted model, not a curated record.